Molecule: ribosomal RNA, 253 nt
Filed under: uncultured bacterium
Lineage: Bacteria
Description: partial 16S ribosomal RNA
Rfam family: Bacterial small subunit ribosomal RNA
Source: RNAcentral
UACGAAGGGGGCUAGCGUUGUUCGGAAUUACUGGGCGUAAAGCGCGCGCAGGCGGUCUUCCAAGUCAGUGGUGAAAGCCCGGAGCUCAACUCCGGAAUUGCCAUUGAAACUGUUGGACUUGAGGAUGAGAGAGGUGAGUGGAAUUCCCAGUGUAGAGGUGAAAUUCGUAGAUAUUGGGAAGAACACCAGUGGCGAAGGCGGCUCACUGGUCCGGUACUGACGCUGAGGUGCGAAAGCGUGGGGAGCAAACAGG